GGAUCUGUAUCUGGGGGCCAUGUAUUGACAAUUAGCUGGUUGACUGUUAUAAUAUGAACUAUGUAUUGAAACAAUUAUGGUUUUAAAUGGAAUCAUCUUUUACUUAUAUUUCUAACUUUUGUAAUGAUGUUAAUCAUAUUUUGGUUAUAAAUAUUCUCCUUGUUGAAAUAUUGUCUUCUCUUUGUUGUUGUUUGCUGUUAAUAAUUGCUAUAUUAAGGGGGAGCAAACAUCUGUGAUUAACUCUAAAGGG
This 250-nucleotide long non-coding RNA is filed under the name Elaeis guineensis (African oil palm). RNAcentral's name for it is "long non-coding RNA (EGUI_LNC078854)". The record is from RNAcentral. Lineage: Eukaryota; Viridiplantae; Streptophyta; Magnoliopsida; Arecales; Arecaceae.